This 427-nucleotide ribosomal RNA is filed under the name uncultured bacterium. RNAcentral describes it as "bacterial SSU rRNA". It matches the Rfam family "Bacterial small subunit ribosomal RNA", at positions 355 to 774 of the family's 1533-position model. The record is from RNAcentral.
UGGGGAAUAUUGGACAAUGGGCGCAAGCCUGAUCCAGCCAUGCCGCGUGGGUGAAGAAGGCCUUCGGGUUGUAAAGCCCUUUUGUCCGGAAAGAAAUCCUGUCGGUUAAUACCCGGCGGGGAUGACGGUACCGGAAGAAUAAGCACCGGCUAACUUCGUGCCAGCAGCCGCGGUAAUACGAAGGGUGCAAGCGUUACUCGGAAUUACUGGGCGUAAAGCGUGCGUAGGCGGUUCGUUAAGUCCGAUGUGAAAGCCCUGGGCUCAACCUGGGAACUGCAUUGGAUACUGGCGAGCUAGAGUGCGGUAGAGGAUGGUGGAAUUCCCGGUGUAGCGGUGAAAUGCGUAGAGAUCGGGAGGAACACCAGUGGCGAAGGCGGCCAUCUGGACCAGCACUGACGCUGAGGCACGAAAGCGUGGGGAGCAAACA